Stomoxys calcitrans (stable fly) is the source of this 1172-nucleotide long non-coding RNA. RefSeq lists it as uncharacterized. The transcript is spliced from 2 exons. The record is from RefSeq and is a predicted model, not a curated record. Lineage: Eukaryota; Metazoa; Arthropoda; Insecta; Diptera; Muscidae.
GGAACUCAACCCGCCAAGUCAAUCCCAGAGGAAUAACAAGAUAAGAAGUAAAACGAUCCACUAAACAUAACUCACAACCACACUGCACUGACAUAGGGACUUUGAUAGAAGUGUCCCGCACUGGGCCCCCCCUUCCUUGGUCCGAAGGCUCCUAUAGAUACAAUUUUAUUCGGACCCCAAUGACCACACACUUUAUUUACACACUUACCUCAUUCAAUCCCCUUCCACUGAAAGGUUCACACCAACAUCAUUAUUUUAAUAUUACUACAUUAAACAAACAUAAUUAUUUAUUAAGGAUUAAAAAUGGUGGUAAAUGAAUUAAUAAAUUUUGAUUCUAUCGAUAUAUUCUUCUUUUUCUAGACUAAUAACUUAAUAUAUUAUAACAUGUAAAUUUUCCUUCUUUUAUAUGUAGCUACCACAUUAGAAAACAAUACUAGUUUCUUUUCAUUAACGUUGGCUCACUCUGGAGUUAACCAUAGAUCAAACGCCCUUAGUCCUGCAAUACGAUUCGCCUCUUAGUUUGGCGCUUUUGCUAACUCAAUCUAACCUCGACUAAUGGAGCUCGAUUAGGCGGAAUAGCAACCACUUUAUUGCUACCAAAACACACAAAUAAUCACAGACUUAUCGUAGUCAUCAAAUUAUAACAAUGGUUUUUCUACACCAGUACAUAUAGACGGACACACAGUUACGACAAGUCUUUUUACCUUAAUUUACACGGCAAAUUUCUGAUUGGUUUGAGCUUUUCUCUUGUUUUAGAGGGACUGUAACAGCGGGAGGGGAAGCGCCAGGCGAAAUCUUCUUAGAUGGAAACUUCGCAGUCGAGCUUUAAUCAUAUAUCUCCCAACGGCCAAACUUCCUCGUGGGAUACAACUCUAACGCCAGCAACACUUUUAACAUAAAUCGGAUUCACACGGCAAAAGUACUUGCAAAUCUGCUGGGCACAACACUUCACCAAAGAGGCACUCUGCUCGUUGAUCAAACCAGAAAAAAAUAAUGACACUGGCCUCCGUCCACUCUACAAGGAAGGCCAGUGCAGUUCCAAAUUUUGUUUAUCUAUACGAAGAAAAUAGAAACCAAACACCACGAAACAUUCACUACAUCGGUCAAACAUCCACUUUUACUUUGGCUACUCACAUUGUAUGAUACACAAAUAAAAGUUCACACACAAAGUC